UACGUAGGGCGCAAGCGUUGUCCGGAAUCAUUGGGCGUAAAGCGCGCGUAGGCGGCCUCAUAAGUCCGUUGUGAAAGUCAAAGGCUCAACCUUUGAAAGCCGAUGGAUACUGUGAGGCUAGAGUCCGGAAGAGGCGAGUGGAAUUCCUGGUGUAGCGGUGGAAUGCGCAGAUAUCAGGAAGAACACCAAUGGCGAAGGCAGCUCUCUGGGACGGUACUGACGCUGAGACGCGAAAGCGUGGGGAGCGAACAGG
This 253-nucleotide ribosomal RNA is filed under the name uncultured bacterium. RNAcentral's name for it is "partial 16S ribosomal RNA". It matches the Rfam family "Bacterial small subunit ribosomal RNA", at positions 524 to 776 of the family's 1533-position model. The record is from RNAcentral.